This 203-nucleotide long non-coding RNA is filed under the name Homo sapiens (human). RNAcentral's name for it is "LNC_000980". Lineage: Eukaryota; Metazoa; Chordata; Mammalia; Primates; Hominidae. The record is from RNAcentral.
CGCCUUCACUUUCCUGUCCUUAAUAUCCACUUUGUUGCCACACAACACAAUGGGGAUGUUUUCACACACUCGUACCAGAUCUCUAUGCCAGUUAGGCACAUUCUUGUAAGUAACUCUCGAUGUUACAUCAAACAUUAUGAUGGCACACUGGGCUUGGAUAUAAUAGCCAUCUCUCAGUCCACCGAAUUUCUCCUGGCCGGCUG